Vicugna pacos (alpaca) is the source of this 2450-nucleotide non-coding RNA. The record is from RefSeq and is a predicted model, not a curated record. NCBI's taxonomy places the organism in Eukaryota, Metazoa, Chordata, Mammalia, Artiodactyla, Camelidae.
UGAGCUCAGAGAGGCAGAAUGUAGGGUCCUACAGCUUGGAAAGUUGCAGUGUGGAAGUUUGAAACCAAGUAGUCAUGGCCCUUUCUACUAUUUCUAACUGGUCCCAAGUGAGUGAAGACUAGAUGAGAGCAAAAUGUUCAUAAAACACUAACUAAAUCACCUUUUUUAUCCUCCUGUAAGUCAUGUUCAGCUUAGGGGAGAGAAAAACUGUUCGGUUAUCAGCUACUUCUCUAUUUUGUUGCCAUAUUUUUCUAUCCUGUAGAAUCUGAGUACCUUCUAGAAGCUACAGCUUUAGCUCUGUUUUGUUGCUGAAUUUUGUUGAAGCUUUAAGUGAACACCCUGCCUUUAUUUAAAAGUUGAUCUUGAGGGUUCAGGUAUGUGGGAGAACACUUUCUAGUCAUUUUUUGAGCUUUCCCUUUAAAGUCACCCUUUUCACACCAGAUUCAGGUAUUCAAUAUUUUAGAGAGAGUAUAGUUUUUAUUAUUUCCCACCAUGUCUGCCUAUUCAAAUGCAUUAAGGCUCAGUUCAGAUGCUUUCGAGACCUCCCUCUCUCAUGUCUAUUCUUUAACCCUUUUUACAUUCGGUGUUUAUAUAAAUCUUAAUCCCCUAUUAAAUAAGAGCAGAGGCUGCAUCUUAAUCAGCUUUAUCCUCCGCACAGUGCUGAGCCAGUGCCUUGCGCACAGAAAAGCAUCUGCUGCUCUCUGUGGGAGUGUCUGUUCUCACUAAGCCUGUCAGUAGCUUCAGAAACCAAAGAACUAGGAACUUUACAACUAUUAAUUGCAACCCUAGAAGGGCUUUACCAGAAAAAUUUUCAACAUUAUUAACAUUUCAAAUUUUAUAAUUAGCAGUUAUAAAUCUGCCAGUGCAAAGUCCUGUGAUCAUAGAACUAAAUUAUCUCCAAUUUCACUUUGACACUAAAAUACAGUAAGAUACCCAUUACAGCCUGGUGUUUUGCAUUUUUGCCUCUUGCCCAUCUGGUCCCUCACCACACUAUAUGUUCAUGAGUCAUCUUUUUAUUUGUUUGGUACAGAAAUCUGCUAUUCCUGAAAUGAAACCACAUGUACAAUUUCCAAGUAGUUUUCAAAAUUGUCUGUGUGGACUGAUUUUAAAUCAAUCAGAGAAGGAAUCAUCUGCUUUUGUAGGCAUGUCCAAGUUUCCCAUGUGGGCUGGAGAGCCUGCCUCUGGUAUCAAGGACCCUUUUAACAGGAUUUGUGUUUUCUCAUUCAGUUGUAGUGGCCCUAAAAAGCAACAUGAAGAAUGAAAUACUGAGGAAAAUCAACUUCUUAAUCACUGGGUAUCUUCAGUGCAGAAAAGUGACCUGCAAGUUACACCAUCCUUCACAGUCUAAGAGCCUUCCCCUGGAAGUUGCAAGCCUUCAAGAGACUCCAGAGGUCCAAAACAGGUACACUGGACAGAUUCUACAAGUGCAACUGUCUUCUAGUUGGUGCCUCUAACUUUGCUAUCUUCUCAGAAUCCUCUGACUAUUGUUUUAUCUACCCUUGGGGUACAGAAGAGAUUUCUAAGUCUAUCACCACCAAAAGCAGAAACCAUGAAAGGCUAAUACAGUCCUGAGUAUGGAAACAUUUUAUGAAACUGAAAAAGUUGUAAAUGAAAAUAAAAAUAACAAAAGCUCAAAGGAAAACUAUGCUGAGGUCAUGAAAGGCAAUUUGUGAAAGAAAAUCAUCAAAUAACCGAUAAAUACAGGGAAAAAUGUAGACUCAUUGAUCAAUGAAAGGCAAAUCCCGAAAAGUUGGAAAAUACAAUUAUUAGUUUGUCAAGGAAGAAGGAAACCACCAUCAUGUACCACAGCGCUGGGAGAGCAAGCUGACACAAACUCUGGGGAGGAGAACUGCCUUAGAAUCUGGUGCAGUCUUGGAUAGAGCGCUUGCCUUUCUCCAAGGCUAUUCUGAAGAAAGAAAUGGUUGCAUCGUUGUUUAUUAUGAUAGUGAAGAACUGGAAAGAAUCUGAAUGUCCAACACAGGGCUGGCUAAGGUCAUCUGAUGAAAGACACUACAGUCAUUAGAAAUUACAUUAGGGAACAGUGGCUUUCAAAACUUUUAACUGUGGAAUACAUUCUUCAAAUAAAAGUUUCUAGAAAUGCAGUGUUGGCAAGGAGCUAUCUCUAAAGCUACUUUGGGGGAGGCAAGGGCUUCCUAACUGAGGUGUUGCACAGACCUGUUACAUAAGAAUGUAACAUAACAAGAGAUUCAUUAAAUAUUAAGUGGGAAAAAUAUAUCAUCCCAUUAAGACAUGAGUGUAUAUACACACAAACGCCUGUAUAUAUGCAAAUAUGUAUGUGCCUACAGAGCAACAAAGACUGGAAGGAUCUGUUCUAAAUGUCAAUAGUGGCCACCUGUGGAUGAUGAUUAUUUUCUUUUUUCUUGUUUUCCAAACAUUCUGAAGUUGUCGUGUUCUUUUUAUAGUAUUAAAAAAUUCAUAAUUGUCAGGUC